Molecule: non-coding RNA, 114 nt
Organism: Chelonoidis abingdonii (Abingdon island giant tortoise)
Lineage: Eukaryota; Metazoa; Chordata; Testudines; Testudinidae
Source: RefSeq, a predicted model, not a curated record
CUCAACUCUGACUGACCUUAAGUAGAGCUCUGUGUAGGCACAAAAGUUUGUCUCUCUCACUAAAACAAGUUGAUCCAAUAAAAGAUAUUACUUCACCCACCUUGUCUCUCUAAU